GACGCGAUGGCGAAGUGGAAACGCGGUUGUCUGCAAAACAUCCAUGCGCGGGUUCGAUUCCCGCUCGCGUCUCCA
This 75-nucleotide transfer RNA is filed under the name Candidatus Daviesbacteria bacterium RIFCSPHIGHO2_01_FULL_40_24. RNAcentral's name for it is "tRNA-Cys". It matches the Rfam family "tRNA". Rfam says of the family: Transfer RNA (tRNA) molecules are approximately 80 nucleotides in length. Their secondary structure includes four short double-helical elements and three loops (D, anti-codon, and T loops). Further hydrogen bonds mediate the characteristic L-shaped molecular structure. tRNAs have two regions of fundamental functional importance: the anti-codon, which is responsible for specific mRNA codon recognition, and the 3' end, to which the tRNAs corresponding amino acid is attached (by aminoacyl-tRNA synthetases). tRNAs cope with the degeneracy of the genetic code in two manners: having more than one tRNA (with a specific anti-codon) for a particular amino acid; and 'wobble' base-pairing, i.e. permitting non-standard base-pairing at the 3rd anti-codon position. RNAcentral also lists the same sequence under 3 other names. Lineage: Bacteria; Candidatus Daviesiibacteriota. The record is from RNAcentral.